ACAACGAAACUCUAAUCUCAGCAAAACUAUCUACCUUGGUGAAUCCAACUCUUUUAUCUUCUUUAUUUAUGUUUUUAUGUUUUUAAACAAACACCCAAUAUAUUUGUAAACCAUCAUUUAAGUCUGUUAGCUAUUGAACGGCAUAAGUAUUACACCUCCCUGUGGAUACGACAAAACCCUUUACUAUACUACAAUUGAGUCUUGAGAGAUUCAACGUAGAGUGGUAAAAAAAAUCUUUCAACAA
This 244-nucleotide long non-coding RNA is filed under the name Lotus japonicus. RNAcentral's name for it is "long non-coding RNA (LJAP_LNC002182)". Lineage: Eukaryota; Viridiplantae; Streptophyta; Magnoliopsida; Fabales; Fabaceae. The record is from RNAcentral.